GACGAACGCUGGCGGCGUGCUUAGCACCUGCAAGUCGAACGGUAAGGCCCUUCGGGGUACACGAGUGGCGAACGGGUGAGUAACACGUGGGUGAUCUGCCCUGCACUUCGGGAUAAGCCUGGGAAACUGGGUCUAAUACCGGAUAGGACCACUGCCUGCAUGGGUGGUGGUGGAUAGCUUUUGCGGUGUGGGGUGGGCCCGCGGCCUAUCAGCUUGUUGGUUGGGUGAUGGCCUACCAAGGUGACGACGGGUAGCCUGCCUGAGAGGGUGACCGGCCAAACUGUGACUGGGAUACGGCCCCUACUCUUACGGGAGGGAGCAGGUGGGAAUAUUGCAUAAUGAGCGCAAGCCUGAGUCAGCGACGCCGCGUUAAGGAGGACGGCCUUCAGGUUGUAAACCUCUUUCAGCACCGACGAAGCGCUAGUGACGUUAGGUGCAGAAGAAGGACCGGCCAUCUGCGUGCAAGCCGCCGCAGUAA
RNAcentral lists this ribosomal RNA (478 nucleotides) under uncultured bacterium. RNAcentral's name for it is "partial 16S ribosomal RNA". It matches the Rfam family "Bacterial small subunit ribosomal RNA", at positions 28 to 523 of the family's 1533-position model. The record is from RNAcentral.